This is a long non-coding RNA of Diuraphis noxia (Russian wheat aphid), 194 nucleotides long. The record is from RefSeq and is a predicted model, not a curated record. NCBI's taxonomy places the organism in Eukaryota, Metazoa, Arthropoda, Insecta, Hemiptera, Aphididae.
AUCCAGAAACAUUAUUUUAUUUUAAUCAUUGUUAAACGUUCACAUUAUUUUCUUAUAUUAAAUCAAAAUGCACAGUUUAAUAACGAUCACAGUUAUAGUUAUUGCAAUUUCAGUUACUAUACCACCUACUUCAGGUGAUGUGACGUGCGGACAAUAUUUUUGUUUAUGUUUUUUAAAGAGAUUUUGCACUUUUA